UCAUAUUGCUGAAAGGAGGCGCCAUGCGCUUGUGCUAAAACUUCUAUUUUCUGGAGAAAGUGGAUUUAAUUUCGGUGUCCAAAGAGCAUCGUGGAUCCUAUGAAAAACGCACCAGUGUUUUUCAUAUCUGCAGAAG
Sander lucioperca (pikeperch) is the source of this 136-nucleotide long non-coding RNA. RefSeq lists it as uncharacterized. The record is from RefSeq and is a predicted model, not a curated record. The transcript is spliced from 4 exons. Lineage: Eukaryota; Metazoa; Chordata; Actinopteri; Perciformes; Percidae.